CCUACGGGAGGCAGCAGUCGGGAAUUUUGCGCAAUGGGGGAAACCCUGACGCAGCAAUACCGCGUGUGGGAUGAAGGCCUUCGGGUCGUAAACCACUUUUCUCGGGGACGAUAAUGACGGUACCCGAGGAAUAAGCCACGGCUAACUACGUGCCAGCAGCCGCGGUAAUACGUAGGUGGCAAGCGUUGUCCGGAUUUACUGGGCGUAAAGCGCGCGCAGGCGGUGAAUGAAGUCGAAAGUGAAAGCCCCGGGCUCAACUCGGGAACAGCUUUCGAAACCAGUUCACUUGAAGGUGGAAGAGGGAAGUGGAAUUCCGAGUGUAGCGGUGGAAUGCGCAGAUAUUCGGAGGAACACCAGAGGCGAAGGCGACUUCCUGGUCCAAUCUUGACGCUGAGGCGCGAAAGCUAGGGGAGCAAACAGGAUUAGAUAUCCUGGUAGUCCUAGCUGUAAACGAUGGAUACUAGGUGUUGGAGGUUUUAACCCCUCCGGUGCCGCAGCUACGACAUAGUAUCCGUCCGUCGGGUAGGUACGGCCGCGACGGACGUAAACCUACAACGAAGUAGUACGGCGUGAGACGUGCCGACGGACGACGACGAGGGAGGUAGG
RNAcentral lists this ribosomal RNA (606 nucleotides) under uncultured bacterium. RNAcentral's name for it is "bacterial SSU rRNA". The stretch from base 1 to 516 matches the Rfam family "Bacterial small subunit ribosomal RNA", at positions 338 to 873 of the family's 1533-position model. The record is from RNAcentral.